UAGGGAAUCUUCGGCAAUGGACGAAAGUCUGACCGAGCAACGCCGCGUGAGUGAAGAAGGUUUUCGGAUCGUAAAACUCUGUUGUUAGAGAAGAACAAGGACGUUAGUAACUGAACGUCCCCUGACGGUAUCUAACCAGAAAGCCACGGCUAACUACGUGCCAGCAGCCGCGGUAAUACGUAGGUGACAAGCGUUGUCCGGAUUUAUUGGGCGUAAAGCGAGCGCAGGCGGUUUCUUAAGUCUGAUGUGAAAGCCCCCGGCUCAACCGGGGAGGGUCAUUGGAAACUGGGAGACUUGAGUGCAGAAGAGGAGAGUGGAAUUCCAUGUGUAGCGGUGAAAUGCGUAGAUAUAUGGAGGAACACCAGUGGCGAAGGCGGCUCUCUGGUCUGUAACUGACGCUGAGGUUCGAAAGCGUGGGGAGCAAACAGG
This 429-nucleotide ribosomal RNA is filed under the name Gemmatimonadota bacterium. RNAcentral describes it as "Gemmatimonadetes bacterium partial 16S ribosomal RNA". It matches the Rfam family "Bacterial small subunit ribosomal RNA", at positions 355 to 776 of the family's 1533-position model. The record is from RNAcentral. Lineage: Bacteria; Pseudomonadati; Gemmatimonadota.